GCUCCAUCACUCCCUGGCAGGCCUCAGUAACGGCCACGACUCUGCUCCACUUCCUGCGACGGAUCCCACGCGGCUCCAUCACUCCCUGGCAGACCCCAGUAACGACCACGACUCUGCUCCACUUCCUGCGAUGGAUACCGCAUGGCUCCUCCACUCUCUGACAAGUCACGACAACGGACGCCGCUCCACUCCCCGCAGCAGACUCCACGUGGCAGGUCCCGGUGAUGGCCACGAUUCCACUCCACUACUCUUCACAACAAACUCCUCCUGACCCCG
RNAcentral lists this long non-coding RNA (276 nucleotides) under Elaeis guineensis (African oil palm). RNAcentral describes it as "long non-coding RNA (EGUI_LNC032627)". Lineage: Eukaryota; Viridiplantae; Streptophyta; Magnoliopsida; Arecales; Arecaceae. The record is from RNAcentral.